GGAAAGGUGGCAGAGUGGUCGAAUGUACCGCACUCGAAAUGCGGCGUACGGGGUAAACUUGUACCGGGGGUUCGAAUCCCCCUCUUUCCG
Molecule: transfer RNA, 90 nt
Filed under: Paludibacteraceae bacterium
Lineage: Bacteria; Pseudomonadati; Bacteroidota; Bacteroidia; Bacteroidales; Paludibacteraceae
Also listed under: 1 other name
Description: tRNA-Ser
Rfam family: tRNA
About the family: Transfer RNA (tRNA) molecules are approximately 80 nucleotides in length.
Source: RNAcentral